This 71-nucleotide transfer RNA is filed under the name Candidatus Woesebacteria bacterium. Its description in RNAcentral is "tRNA-OTHER". It matches the Rfam family "tRNA". From Rfam's summary of the family: Transfer RNA (tRNA) molecules are approximately 80 nucleotides in length. Their secondary structure includes four short double-helical elements and three loops (D, anti-codon, and T loops). Lineage: Bacteria; Candidatus Woeseibacteriota. The record is from RNAcentral.
GCACCUGUAGCUCAAAGGCAGAGCAUUCCGCUAGAUCGGAAGGUUUAGAGGUUCGAAUCCUCUCGGGUGCU